CGUGUUCAAACGAUGGACAAAUACAGAGGCUUGGAUGAGAGAUGACUGAAAGAAGAGAAGAUCCGUAAAUCAUAAAUAAGAGACGGUGACCUAAGAUGGCAGAACAACUAAUACAAAAACAUUAUAUGACACAGAUACCUGAUCAUCUAAGAACAACAUGUCGAUGCCCACAAGUUCACCAGCCUUCUUCACAUUUUUAGCUUCCCAAAAUCGGAGUAGGCGUGUGACAACGGUUUGAGUGCCACGUCCUGGCUUCAACUCAGAAAGAGAUAUUCAGGAAGCAGCCAUCUUUCUUGGACGAUUAUUUUUGUAAAUCGAGUGGAAAG
RNAcentral lists this long non-coding RNA (326 nucleotides) under Brassica napus (rape). Its description in RNAcentral is "long non-coding RNA (BNAP_LNC014236)". Lineage: Eukaryota; Viridiplantae; Streptophyta; Magnoliopsida; Brassicales; Brassicaceae. The record is from RNAcentral.